This 75-nucleotide transfer RNA is filed under the name Opitutaceae bacterium. RNAcentral's name for it is "tRNA-Met". It matches the Rfam family "tRNA". Rfam says of the family: Transfer RNA (tRNA) molecules are approximately 80 nucleotides in length. Lineage: Bacteria; Pseudomonadati; Verrucomicrobiota; Opitutia; Opitutales; Opitutaceae. The record is from RNAcentral.
GCCAGGGUAGCUCAGUGGUAGAGCAGGGGACUCAUAAGCCCUUGGUCGGCGGUUCAAUCCCGCCCCCUGGCACCA